Long non-coding RNA from Morus notabilis, 1602 nucleotides. RefSeq lists it as uncharacterized. The record is from RefSeq and is a predicted model, not a curated record. The transcript is spliced from 9 exons. NCBI's taxonomy places the organism in Eukaryota, Viridiplantae, Streptophyta, Magnoliopsida, Rosales, Moraceae.
GCUACUGAAAUUCCUAUACGAACAAAAGCUUCCCCACUCUGUGGAAGAGGCAUUUGUCGGUCAAGGAAAAAAAACCUCGAUCUGCUAUUCCCCCCAAAUUCCCAAAUUGCCCGCUCCAUUCCUUCUUUUUGAUUUGCUCUGUUAGAUUUUCAAAUUUAAUGCUGCUGUUAGCUUCCCCACUGAUCAGUCGAAGAUCCUCUUAGCAGAUUGGGUCGUUCUGAUCUGCGUCGAACUCAGUACAAGUUUGGGCUUCAUAGAAGAUUCCAAGAUUUGUUAUUGCUUUGGUGAUAUACUCAACCUUCACGAAGGCCCGUUGGUACCCUUACCCUGUUAUCAACCAUGAUGAGCGAAGUUAUUAAGAACCUCAUGAAUAAUAACUCUGAAGAAGAGACAUGGAGCUGGGAGGCGCGUGAUAUUCUACUAGAUACGUGGACUACCCUUCUCGUGCCAGUGAAUAGGAAUAGUGGAAUGCGUUGCUUCCACCUGAAGGAAGAAGUGUCGCAACAAAUCUCUUUGCCUUAAUUGUGGAGUCUGAGCUAAGACGUAACUUUUUUGAUAUGUCACCUUCGCUUCUGCUCUGGUUCAGCAAUCACACUUGUUUGUUUUCUUGUAUUAUCAUCCAAUAACAGUUGGUCCUUUGUGGCGUAGCUGCUUCUGCAUCUGCAUUUAACGACGAUGUCGACUCGAGCUACCUUCAGGCUUCCAUUUCUGGUUGAGCUCUGCGAGAGCAGCAAGUGAGGUGACAAUCUUUUUCUCACUGAGGUGUUUGCUAAGGGCUUUGCUUGGAUUGCUCAGGGCAGGGGCGUCGUUGAUCACACUGAAUGUCUGGAAGAGCUGUACUCAUUAUUACUCAUCACUGGCCAUGUAAUUGCUGAUGAAGGGUUCUGAACGUCAUACAAACCCCGUUUUCUGAUAUUUUGGAGGCAGAGAAGCAUCUCGUUAUUAUAUUGUUUCUCUAUCAGCAGACUAGAUAAUUCAUUCUAUGUAGGAAAUUAGAGCUUGCCUACAUCCUAUUAACUCGACCUUUGUAAUGGAAAAGUAAUAAUAAGCUUUUGAAGAGUGUUCAAACGUCAGAUUAUCCAAAUUUCUAACCUCUUGCUGGACUUUGCAAUAUUUUAGUCAUUUACUUGUCCAUCUCCACAUGUCACUGUUUUACAAAAUCCAUGUUGUACAAGAAGUCUGCAUGCAGGUCUCAUUGUGUCACAUCACGUUUUUGUUUAUACCCACGUGCUAAACUUUUUUUUUAAAAAAAAAUGCUAUGCAUUUUGAUUUUUUUUCCUUGUCAUUUUCUGUAGCCAAAGUACGUAGAUACUGUAUAGUAAUUUGUUUGCUAAAAGGAACUAAUUUAUGUCUGCUAUUACAAUUUUAUCCAGCUCAAUCAUAAAAUUUCUUGAGCAGAGUUUAAAUCCAGAAAUGAGAGAAUUGCUGUUCAGUCCCCGAGUUAUGGAGGUCAAUAGUUGCUUUGUUGGAGGAGAUGGCCUUUUUGUUGGAGCAUUUUGUCAAGAUGGGUUAUUUACUUAACCAUUUCAUUUGGCUAGACAUUUUGGAUACUUUGAUAUAUUUAGUUAUUUCUCUAUAUUCUUGACUUGUUUUAAUGUUAAA